CGGAUGACGGGAGCUUGCUCCUUGAUUCAGCGGCGGACGGGUGAGUAAUGCCUAGGAAUCUGCCUGGUAGUGGGGGACAACGUUUCGAAAGGAACGCUAAUACCGCAUACGUCCUACGGGAGAAAGCAGGGGACCUUCGGGCCUUGCGCUAUCAGAUGAGCCUAGGUCGGAUUAGCUAGUUGGUGGGGUAAUGGCUCACCAAGGSGACGAUCCGUAACUGGUCUGAGAGGAUGAUCAGUCACACUGGAACUGAGACACGGUCCAGACUCCUACGGGAGGCAGCAGUGGGGAAUAUUGGACAAUGGGCGAAAGCCUGAUCCAGCCAUGCCGCGUGUGUGAAGAAGGUCUUCGGAUUGUAAAGCACUUUAAGUUGGGAGGAAGGGCAGUAAGUUAAUACCUUGCUGUCUUGACGUUACCGACAGAAU
Molecule: ribosomal RNA, 425 nt
Filed under: uncultured Pseudomonas sp.
Lineage: Bacteria; Pseudomonadati; Pseudomonadota; Gammaproteobacteria; Pseudomonadales; Pseudomonadaceae
Description: bacterial SSU rRNA
Rfam family: Bacterial small subunit ribosomal RNA
Source: RNAcentral